Molecule: microRNA, 22 nt
Filed under: Melibe leonina
Lineage: Eukaryota; Metazoa; Mollusca; Gastropoda; Nudibranchia; Dendronotidae
Description: mle-miR-2f-5p
Gene: mle-miR-2f-5p
Source: miRBase by way of RNAcentral
CCUGUUCAUUGUGUGUGGUUUG